CCUACGGGUGGCAGCAGUGGGGAAUCUUAGACAAUGGGCGCAAGCCUGAUCUAGCCAUGCCGCGUGAGCGAUGAAGGCCUUAGGGUUGUAAAGCUCUUUCAGCGAGGAAGAUAAUGACUGUACUCGCAGAAGAAGCCCCGGCUAACUCCGUGCCAGCAGCCGCGGUAAUACGGAGGGGGCUAGCGUUGUUCGGAAUUACUGGGCGUAAAGCGCACGUAGGCGGACUGGAAAGUCAGGGGUGAAAUCCCGGGGCUCAACCCCGGAACUGCCUUUGAAACUCCCAGUCUUGAGGUCGAGAGAGGUGAGUGGAAUUCCGAGUGUAGAGGUGAAAUUCGUAGAUAUUCGGAGGAACACCAGUGGCGAAGGCGGCUCACUGGCUCGAUACUGACGCUGAGGUGCGAAAGCGUGGGGAGCAAACAGGAUUAGAUACCCCUGUAGUC
RNAcentral lists this ribosomal RNA (440 nucleotides) under uncultured Rhodobacter sp. RNAcentral describes it as "bacterial SSU rRNA". It matches the Rfam family "Bacterial small subunit ribosomal RNA", at positions 338 to 795 of the family's 1533-position model. Lineage: Bacteria; Pseudomonadati; Pseudomonadota; Alphaproteobacteria; Rhodobacterales. The record is from RNAcentral.